Molecule: ribosomal RNA, 492 nt
Filed under: uncultured bacterium
Lineage: Bacteria
Description: partial 16S ribosomal RNA
Rfam family: Bacterial small subunit ribosomal RNA
Source: RNAcentral
GGUGAACGCUGGCGGUAGGCCUAACACAUGCAAGUCGAACGGCAGCACAGUAAGAGCUUGCUCUUACGGGUGGCGAGUGGCGGGCGGGUGAGGAAUACAUCGGAAUCUACUUUUUCGUGGGGGAUAACGUAGGGAAACUUACGCUAAUACCGCAUACGACCUACGGGUGAAAGCAGGGGAUCUUCGGACCUUGCGCGAUUGAAUGGGCCGAUGUCGGAUUAGCUAGUUGGCGGGGUAAAGGCCCACCAAGGCGACGAUCCGUAGCUGGUCUGAGAGGAUGAUCAGCCACACUGGAACUGAGACACGGUCCAGACUCCUACGGGAGGCAGCAGUGGGGAAUAUUGGACAAUGGGCGCAAGCCUGAUCCAGCCAUACCGCGUGGGUGAAGAAGGCCUUCGGGUUGUAAAGCCCUUUUGUUGGGAAAGAAAAGCAGCAGGUUAAUACCCCGCUGUUCUGACGGUACCCAAAGAAUAAGCACCGGCUAACUUCGUG